Molecule: long non-coding RNA, 1810 nt
Filed under: Cotesia glomerata
Lineage: Eukaryota; Metazoa; Arthropoda; Insecta; Hymenoptera; Braconidae
Description: uncharacterized LOC123272385, transcript variant X2
Source: RNAcentral
UUGUUAAGUUACAAUACUUAAUACUUAUUACCUGAUGGUUAAUUAAAAAAAAACUCCGUUUCAUUUCUAUUACUCACGUUUCUGUUCUUGUUACAAUUUAAGUGCGCAAACAAAUUAUUGAAAUUCACACGCUCUAAAUACCAGACAGUACUUGUAAUGUAUAAAGUAUAAAGUAAUUAUACAAAAAACAGAUUCUCUGUAAAUGACCGAGCCAAGUAAAUGUUUAUAAGAUGUAACACAGAAGCACAAUUUGAACGUGUACUUGCUUUAAAUUAACUCAGGAUUUCAUUUCUCGUAACUUUACCUUCAAAGCUGUAGUUAAAGUCAUAAAUCAUAAUAGUAAAUAGUUUCUUUACUUAGCUUGGGUUCUGUCGUUGUUUACGGCGUACCUCGGUUAUACAACUUCUGAGUAAGGGACAAACUUUAAACAGUUACCAUCACAAAGAAAGACCAACGGCUAGUUUACAACCAAAGUUCGUGGGAAGGAAAAAAUUCAAUUCUCUCAACUAUUUUCCUCAUACUUUACCUACACAAAUUCAUUCUUUACAAACCUCAUUUCAUUUUAGUACCUUUAAAAAAGCCUUACAAUAAAAAGAUUUCCGGGCUGCAAAUAAAUAAACAAAAAAUGUAUUAUUUUAAAUCUCAGAACCGAAGGAGUAGAGCUUACAAUUAGACAAAGAAAAUAGUGUAUCCGGGAUUGAUUGUAAUCGUACAUGAUUCAACGAAAACCGGAUGUCUGUACACUGUACGCGAGUGAAUUUCGUAAUAAUUGUCUUGGGUUUUCUGUUUCAUUUUUCAUUUUCAUUUAUAUUAAUUGCGCAAGCGAUCUCUUUUAAAUGAAGGUCUAAUCGGUGCUUGCCGAAACUUAAAUAAAGUGGCUAGUAUAAGCCGAGACAAUUAAAUUUCUUGAUAAUAAAGCGGCCUACUUACGUUACAUUAAACACAAAGUAAAGGUAGUGACUUUGUGAGUGCAGACAAAGAUUAUGAUUGCAUUGAGAUAAAAAGUCGGGUGUAUCGAGGCGACUGUCUUUGUAAAUUUAAAUAAUCGGCCAGCAAAUAUACCAACGAUUUGCGCAAACGUCUUGAUCGCAGGGAUAUCAGGCAAACAUGAGCUAAGUAUAAUAUAUAGCUCACUAUCACAGUGUUGUUAUAUAUUUAUAUACAUAUGUAUAAUAGCAGUGAGUCACGAGACGACAGUGAACAACUCUGUGAACGUGAAUGCGGAGUUUGUAACACGCGCAUGUUGUUGCGCGUGUCAGUUUUACCACUCGGGAAUAAAAGUUAGUAUAACUAACUAAUAUAAUGUUAUGUUACAACAAAGCAACAAUCACACGACAAUGAUAGUAAUAAGUCCGAUGUGUAACACUAAUAAUAAUAUUAAUUUAAGUUUAAGUAACGUCAAGGCCGCCCGAAAUUUCUCAAAUGUCUUCUGGAGGAACCUAAGCGUUAUGUUGCGUGCUAUGAUGAAUAUUUUGUUUAUUUAGCCUUAAAUUUUAGAUAGUGGGAGCAGAAUUAUGCCGAUGGGCAUGUAACGGUACUCAAUGAUUAGCACACUAACCAACAUAAAGGGAAAGUAUACCAUUAUUAUAUAUUAAUUUGUUAUUAAAUAGCAACGUUUGACCUUAACAAGUUUCACAAAGAUUCAUUAAGAAUUUAGGCGCAAUCACACCCGCAUUAUAGCGCCUACAUAAAUUAAUUUUUGAAUGAAUGGUAGUUUUGAAACUUACUUUACUAUUCAAGAGAUAUAUUCUGGCAAAAUUGUCAGUAAAUUUCAUCAUGAAGACAAAUUCAAAAGAUAAUACUAAAGUUA